This 853-nucleotide ribosomal RNA is filed under the name uncultured bacterium. RNAcentral describes it as "bacterial SSU rRNA". It matches the Rfam family "Bacterial small subunit ribosomal RNA", at positions 630 to 1482 of the family's 1533-position model. The record is from RNAcentral.
AAACUACUUGUCUUGAGGGUAGACGGAGAAAACGGAAUUCCAAGUGUAGCGGUGAAAUGCGUAGAUAUUUGGAAGAACACCGGUGGCGAAAGCGGUUUUCUAGUUUAUUCCUGACGCUGAGAUGCGAGAGCAAGGGUAGCAAACAGGAUUAGAUACCCUGGUAGUCCUUGCCGUAAACGAUGCAUACUUGGUGUAGUUGGACUCAACCCCGACUGUGCCGUAGCUAACGCGUUAAGUAUGCCACCUGGGGAGUACGCCCGCAAGGGUGAAACUCAAAAGAAUUGACGGGGGCCCGCACAAGCAGUGGAGCAUGUGGUUUAAUUCGAUGCAACGCGAAGAACCUUACCCAGGCUUGACAUAUAGAGGACCGCUCUAGAGAUAGGGUUUCCCGCAAGGGCCUUUAUACAGGUGCUGCAUGGCUGUCGUCAGCUCGUGCCGUGAGGUGUUGGGUUAAGUCCCGCAACGAGCGCAACCCUUGUCGUUAGUUACCAACAUGUAAUGGUGGGGACUCUAACGAGACUGCCUAGGUUAACUAGGAGGAAGGUGAGGAUGACGUCAAGUCCGCAUGGCCUUUAUGUCUGGGGCUACACACGUGCUACAAUGGUCGGUACAGAAGGCAGCGAAGCCGAAAGGUGGAGCAAAUCCCAAAAACCGAUCUCAGUUCGGAUAGAAGUCUGCAACUCGACUUCUUGAAGUUGGAAUUGCUAGUAAUGACGUGUCAGCAAUAACGUCGUGAAUACGUUCCCGGGCCUUGUACACACCGCCCGUCACAUCAUGGAAGUUGGUUUCGCCCGAAGCCGCUGACUCAACCGCAAGGGGAGAGGCGUCUAAGGUGAGGCUGAUGACUAGGAUG